UUCAAUUGCCCAGUUAAGUUUAAUAGUAAAAGACUGGUUAAUGAUAACAAUGCAUUGUAAAAACUUCAGAAGGAAAGGAGAAUGUUUUGGUGACCACUUUCCUUU
This is a long non-coding RNA of Cebus imitator (Panamanian white-faced capuchin), 105 nucleotides long. RefSeq lists it as uncharacterized. The record is from RefSeq and is a predicted model, not a curated record. NCBI's taxonomy places the organism in Eukaryota, Metazoa, Chordata, Mammalia, Primates, Cebidae. The transcript has 3 exons.